This 314-nucleotide ribosomal RNA is filed under the name uncultured bacterium. RNAcentral describes it as "bacterial SSU rRNA". It matches the Rfam family "Bacterial small subunit ribosomal RNA", at positions 28 to 334 of the family's 1533-position model. The record is from RNAcentral.
GAUGAACGCUAGCUACAGGCUUAACACAUGCAAGUCGAGGGGCAUCAGGAAGAAAGCUUGCUUUCUUUGCUGGCGACCGGCGCACGGGUGAGUAACACGUAUCCAACCUGCCCUUUACUCGGGGAUAGCCUUUCGAAAGAAAGAUUAAUAUCCGAUAGUAUAUUAAAACCGCAUGGUUUUACUAUUAAAGAAUUUCGGUUAUCGAUGGGGAUGCGUUCCAUUAGUUUGUUGGCGGGGUAACGGCCCACCAAGACUACGAUGGAUAGGGGUUCUGAGAGGAAGGUCCCCCACAUUGGAACUGAGACACGGUCCAA